Molecule: small nucleolar RNA, 150 nt
Organism: Mus pahari (shrew mouse)
Lineage: Eukaryota; Metazoa; Chordata; Mammalia; Rodentia; Muridae
Product: small nucleolar RNA SNORA48
Exons: 1
Source: RefSeq, a predicted model, not a curated record
CACCCCAGCAAUGGGCAAAGAGAUACCUUGGUGUUGGUGGUAGUGUUCUUAUCAGUCAGGGGCAGAGCAGAUGGCAUUCCUUUGUUCAUCCUAGCCUGAUGCCUGGCUUGGGGGUGGGGGGCAAAGCUGCCUUAUGCCUGGGACUCAUAA